Podarcis muralis (Common wall lizard) is the source of this 1740-nucleotide long non-coding RNA. RefSeq lists it as uncharacterized. The record is from RefSeq and is a predicted model, not a curated record. NCBI's taxonomy places the organism in Eukaryota, Metazoa, Chordata, Lepidosauria, Squamata, Lacertidae.
UGCGCGCCGUCUGCGCCUGGAGAUGUUAUAUAUACCCCGCGGCGGCCAAGGGAUUGGACCCCAGCCAGGGAGGGGGCGGAGCACGCGGAGCGGACUCUCACCACAAGAAUUCUGGCUGUGGGCUUGAUCCUUUUUGAGCUUGUGCACCGUUCUGCAUUCAGAUUUAUUGUUUGAUUCAAGGUGGAGUGUUUGUUGCAAACUUACAGCGCCUUGCCCCUCAUCCUGAUUUGGCCACGGCACAAUGGCUUGAGAUGGGAAGGAAGGGAGAAGCAGUUUCCAAACUAAUGCAAAUGUCAGAGACCCUUGGAAGACAUGUCAGCCAUGGAAAGAGCUAUAAUCGGAGCAAGCCUGGCAGGAAGGUUCAUGUUCCCAACAGUCGCUGGAAAACAGGAUUCAUCAGUGUAGGAACUGUAGCAUUGCCUCUUAUUGUGGCCAUCCUGCCCAACCAUGCCUACUCAGGAGUAAACCCUACUGAAUUCAGUGAGUCUUACUCCCAGGUAAGUGGGAUUAGGAUUGGGGCCUUAGCCAUCACCAGCAGUGAAGGACUUCAAUUGCCUGCCAGACUGGGUGUGACAGCCAGUGGUGGAAGAGCCACUGUUGCCUCUCAGAAACAAGCCCCAGUGAUAGUUGGGGGUCAUCUUAUGAUUCCCUGCUCCAGAUUCCAAUAACUCCAGAGCAGUUAUGGGUAGUGCCUGAAUUUAAACUUUACUUUUGCUAUUGUCCUAAAAGUAAAAGUAUUAUAAGGUGGGAUUUUUGUUUUGUUUUAAGUAUGAAUAACGUACUAAGGGGCUGGCCCACCCAUUCGAUAAACUGAGCAAGUGUACACAGUAAAUGGCUUAUAGGCAACUAUGCAGCUAGCUGCCAGCUGCAACUCAUGACUACGCAUGGCCUUUUGAUACUUCGGCUGGUUGUUCUGGUUCUUCCUAUAAAGGGGGAAAUAACUGCUUUUAUAGUUAUACUGUUGUUAGGAGGGAUGUUUGGUGUGGGCUGCUGGUAACCAGAGUUAUGAAACAUUAACACAAAACACCCAAGACUUGAGAUAGAAUCGGCAAGUAAAAGUAAAUAAAGUUUCUUUUAACCACCUACUUAGUAAAAAGUUUUUGAUCUGAUAACAGUAGAAAGUAUCAGUUACAGAUAGGUAGCCGUGUUGGUCUGCCAUAGUCAAAACAAAACAAAAUUUCUUCCAGUAGCACCUUAAAGACCAACUAAGUUAGUUCUUGGUAGAAAGUAUGUAAGUCAUAGGAGCUAUAGAAUCUACCUGCCACUGAUUUCAAAUAUCUGGAUUUUAUGCUUAGCUUUUGUAUCUGUUCUCACAACUUUUUUUCUGAAUCUGUGUAUUUUUUAUAUUUUUAUUUAACUGGAUUAACCUGUAUGUUCAUUGAAGGAGCAUCCAUCCAUAGACUGCCAUUGUGGAAGAGCCCCUUCAACUUAUCAUUAUAUUGAUACACUUAAGCUGUGCACAAACUCGUGUUUACUCUGCAUUCACUGGUUUGGGAAGUGGUAUACGCACGGUGAUAGCCACAAUUCAUAUCUAUGCUAGAGUUUCUUUUGAAAUACUAUGUUUUGAUGUGUUUUCCGCCAAACCAGCUUCAAUCCAAAUUGAGAAAAAGAACGACAUAGCUGUGUUUCAAGCCAAUAACAUGUACAUAGCGACAGAGCAGCGGUAACCAACAUGGUGCCAACCAGAUGUUAUUGGUAUACCACCUCCAUCAUUCCUGGCCAAUGGCCAUGCUAGCUGUG